CUUCAGGAACAAGCUUGAGCAAUGGCAAGAAGAAUUCUCACUGUGCCUUAGCCAUUAAUUGCGAGUGCUUCAUGAUUCGAAGUGAAAGCUUGGACAUCAUUAUCAAGUGGAUCACCAAAUCCUAAGCUCUCUCGAUCAACCAGCUUCCAUACCCUACAUCUUAGUUGGCGACGUUGACUUCGCUCGGGUGCAGUUAUGUUGUCUUCUCCGACUACUUUUUGCUAGCUUCGAAGCGGAAAAAGAGAAGAAGCAUGGAGACUUGGCCGUGUGGAGAUUCCCACCACCUAUAGUUCUGUCUUCGAUCGGUAAAGCAGCUAUGUUGUGUCAUGGUGAUAAGAUCAAAGGAAGCAUGAUUCCAUCUCCCUUAUCUCUGGACUUGACGAAAGACAGGAAAAGGAAUGAAUUCUUAUUCUCAAAGCACUCCAAAGGUCCACAUUUCUUUUCUUCCUCUUGUCAGCAAACCAUACAAAAGUUCCAAUAUAUCUUAUUAUUAUUACAGCUUUUUGUGAUAGCAUUUCUUGCACUCAUGAAAGAUUUAUUUGCAUACAUAUAAGUAAUGUGACGCAUCACACCAUCGACAUCAAAUAGGUAGGUAGAUAUAUAAGAUGAUCACACAACAGCCUUGGAGGCCUUGAUGUCCUCGCCACCCUUGUCGGCCUCCUGCGCGAUGUUGAUCAGCCUCGGCUGCCUCCUUGUCCCCUCGACGAGCUUCGGCACCGUCACCCGUAGCACGCCGUCCUCCAGGUGGGCCUUAACGGCGUCCACGUCGGCGCUAGCCGGCAGCCGGAACUGCCGCCAGAACUUGCCGGCCAUCCGCUCGGCCCGGUGCCACUUCUCGCCCUCCACCUCCUCCUCCUCGCCCUUCCUCUCGCCCGUUAUCCUCAGCACCCGAUUCUCCUCCACCUCUACCUUGAUGUCUUCCCUCCUCACCCCUGCGCGAAGAGCUCGGCCAUGUCAGGGACCGGCAAGCAAAGACGACGACGAGUAAUGGAGCGGAUGGAGCGCGAGGAUUAAAGCAACGAACCUGGGACGUCGAGGGAGAUGACGUGCGCGUGGGGGGUCUCCUUCCAGUCAGCGCGUGCGAGCGCGAGCGCGUCCACGGCCUUGGGGACGGUGAAGGGUGUCUGCUCCAGGAUGCGGAAGGGAUCGUCGUAGGCGGCGGGCAUCAUCAUGUCCCACAGCCUCCCGUAAUACGGCAUCAGCCCGUUAGCUGCCGGCGCAGCACACGAGGCCAAGAAAAGGACAACGAACAGUACAAGGAACGGCGAGCGCCUCAUUGUGAGCCGGUGAUCAGAUGGUUUCUUUCAGAUGAUGCGUAGAAGAAGAAGAAGAAGGGAGCACUGCGUAGCUUCAAGGAACUCCAGAGAUCGCACUUGAUCUGGAUCUUGGAAUAGGAUGGAGCUUCCAUUUAUAGUGGAGGAGGCGUUUCCAGAGUCAUCCCUUCCCGGUUCUGGCAGCUUCUGGUGGUCUCAGGAUGAAGAUGGCGUCGGUGUGCGUUGGUCUGGAAUGCUCUCUCGCGCGUGGAAAGCGGAUGCGCGGCGUGGCUUGAAACGGGUUUUCUCAUGUACACACGUAUACCCGAUCCAUUUGUCUAAUCGGAUUCGGAUCACAUAUGUAUUCCUAGACUUAUCUUUGCCCACUUUCUUAUGAGAAUAUUAACCCAGCAUUAUUCUGUUCAGCUUGUGAACACCAUAGUCAACGAUCUGCAACCAAUAACCAGUUUGCUACUUCAACCAGGAUCAAUAUGGAGAAUCAGCUCUAAAACAUAAGAUCUAUGGCUUUUAAUCUCUGGUGUCCUCUGGGUGAGGAUCGCAAAGCCUUUCAAUCUAGUAGCACCACUUCGAAUAUUAAUGGAUUUUUAAUCUUGAAGCAUAUUUCUUGAUUUCAUGGGCAAAUUGCAUCACAAUUCCAAGUAGUUUCACCAUCAUAGUAACAAAUAACAAGAUCUUGCAAAGAAAGAUGCGGAAGGGAUAUCUUGCGAAGUAGUGACAGGGAACCCGAAACCUGUCACUACUCAUAUCACAAUCGAAGUACUUUGACCACAAAUUUCUCAUGAAUGGUAGUCUAGAAUUAACAGGAGAGAUUUAUUACAGUAUCAGAGUCAACCAAUAAAUUAUUGUUGAAAAGAAAGAUGAGCAAAAGACUUCAUGACCUGCAUUGCAAAUGAUGUAUAAGUUGCCGUAAUUGGCAGGGCUUCUUUUACUUUAACAAUAAUGAUUAUACUAACAACCAAUCAUCCUUUCUUUGACGUAAUCCUCUGCUUCGUCCAUUCUUCCAUGUUUUUUCGAUGAUGAGAAUUCAUUCUAAUGAAAGGACGCUUCUCGCGGAUCAUCUUCUCAGCAUCUUUCCAGCUUUCGGCCACUCCUAAUUCAACUAGGAGUGCACACAUUACACAGACACUUCUGCCAUGGCCUGUUGCAUUGACGGAUCAUCAGCAGAAAGAACAGAUAAAAGGAGAAAUGUAAACACCUUCCAAACAAACAAAUAGGCAAUAAUGAAGAAAAACUUUAAGUGUAUAAUGCUGUGCAUACUGCAUAGUAUAUAGAAAUGUUGAGCAUGAAAAAAAUAGCACAUAUUCAUAAAACUAAUGGUAUUCUAGUCUUUGCAAAGGAUAGAAAGCUUGCAAUAUGUUCAAUACUCUAGAUCAGUUACAAACUCCUUUCAAUCAACAUCGCAACAUCUGGGACAGAUAGUAAAGAAGAUGGAGCAUAUACAAGAAGUGCGCUUUGUGGCACAUACUAGCAAUAACCAAAAAAUUUGCAUAGGCAGAUGUCAUGACCAGCAGAACACCAUGAUGCACAAUGCAAACAAUUUUCUUAUAUGGUUACACACCUACUUGUGCUGACUACCACAGUGAUUUUUAAGCAUGAAGAUAGUUCUACUUUGUACUUUUAGAAUAAAUCUUUCUUGACUGAAAUGACAUCAGUAAAUUUUGGGAAAUACUCUACUGGCAUUGCUACUGCAAUUAUAGAAAUAAUUUGGCAUAUUUCAAGCACACACUGAAAGAUAAAUGCAGCAAAAUAAUCCUAAAUGGAACAAAUGAUAGUUCUUGAUCUACAUUUGAGACAACCUUUUGUUGCUUCCAAGUAACAUGCCACUUAUAUAUACUGCAAUAUCUACAUAAUGGAAAGUGAUAAUCAAUGACCUACAUGAAAGAUACUUAUGAAAUGUCAAAUUAUUAAAAGAUCCUUAAAAAGCCACUCUGAAAAAUGACAUUCUUCAACAUGUUUCACGGACUAGAAUAUAGAAAUGCUUACACAAAAUUUUGCUCAGGCUGUAACUAGUUUAAACGCUCCUCAAGCAGAAAAUUAAGGCUACCAUUUAUAUUGGGUUUCUGAGAUAUCUUAUUUAUAUAUAACAUAUUCACUUCAGAAUGUAAGCUGCUGUUUUCAUCCUUUCCCCAAACUGCAAAUUGAAAUAACAAUGUUCACCUGGUGAGCUGGCAAUGCAAGUUUGAUGCAUGCAGCUGAAUUCUAUCAUUUCUUUUAUGGUACAAAGUUGAAUAGUACAAUUGGGCUCAAACUACAUUAACUUAAGAAAAGGAAAUAAAAGAGAAUCCAAAGAAAACCAUUAAUAAAUUAGUAUCGCCUAAAGUAACCAACUGGAAGUAGAGAGGAUUCUUACCAUUUGCACAAUGAAUGUAAAUUGGCUUCUUUUCAGCUCUCUUUUGGCAUGCCCAACGAACCGCAGAUUCAAUCUGUGCUGGACUUGGGGACCUUGAAUCCCAUAGAGGUAUGCAAAAAUAUGCAUCCUUGUUAAUAAAAGAGCCCUUCGGUAAUUCACAUGUGCAAUCGAUUACUACAGGAUCACCAGGAGGCAUCUGACUUGGGGAAGUAGGCCAACCCCCAACAUACAGAUUUUCAGAAACUUCAUUGUACAAUGACUCCCUCCUCUUCAACCUUUUGAGCACAGCAUAUAACCUAACAGACACUAGAUAUGGGCCGAAAAUAAACUUUGCCCAGAGAGGGAAACUUCCAUCAGAUCUCUUUCCCAAGAGCGAUGGCAAAUUUAUGGAUGGAUGAGAUGCAAUGGAGACCGAAUACCCAACCAAAGCACCAACUAAGAGAGGUAUUGGCAUGUAAGUAAAUCCAGAUUUCUUGAGGUAGAUAGCUGCUGAGAAGAGAACUGUUGCCGCACAUCCGACAACCUUUGAUAUCCCCAUUAUUUCUUUUCUUUAAGGAAAAAUUGUUUCUAACUUUUUACCUGAGCCAAAAGUGGAUGUAAAUUUGAAUGAAAAUUACAUGAUGCAAUUUUUCUCAAAAAGAAGAAAAAUAACAUAUAUACUAUUGAAAAACACAGAUCGAAGGAAUCAGCAAAUGAAUUUUAUACCUGACUAACUAGGUUUACGAGAUGAAUUACUGUAAAUGUAAGGCUUUCUUGCCUAAAAAUAGCAAGAUUGCAGCAAUUAGAGAUAACCAACACGAACAAGAUCUCCACAAUCAAAAGCCUUCAUUGUUAAGAUACAUUAUAUGACAUCUUCACACGUUCUAUUAGAAGAUCUUGUAAAUGACUAUUGUAGAAAAAUUGGGACUUCGAAAAUAGAAAUCUGUUUUAAUGUACGAAACCCACUGAAGCAUAAGAAAGAUACCCAGUCCUACAGCUCAGGUUAAAGCAGCACUCAGUGGUUUCUUACAAACAUCCAAACUCAAAAGUCCAAUCCAAAAAUCAUCCUGAUCAUACUACAAUCAUUCUCAUUUUAAGCAGUCAACUUUGUAAUCGAAUCUACUCAAUCAGAUCAAGCUACUUGCUUAUUACCAAAAAAAAGUAACUAUUUUUCUUUUGUAAAAACCUAAAACAAGUUCAAAUCCGAAAAGGGAGGUAAUCAACAAAGAAGUGAAAGAGGAUCCCGAUUACUUUCAAAAGCAAUUGAGGCCGAGGCCCGACCUUUGAUGACAGCGCGAGAGCAGGCGAUUGAAAGGCCGACGAGAGAUACGGACAGGAAAGAAGCAACAAACCUACAAGCCGAGGAGGAGGGGGCGGAGCAGGAGGAGAAGGGGAGCCCCUCACCCCAUAUUUGAGCGCCGAGGGGAGUGGAUCGCCAUUAGAAAGGAAGUCCACAAGCCCGCUUUGCAUCUUUUCAUUUGCCCAGCGACCAAGGGAUCCUACUGAUUAACGUGCAGAACCACGUAAUAAGAGACAACUUAGAUUAGCAGCGGUCUUAUGACACGUACCCGAGCUGUUUGCUGAUGGUUUACGUGUCGAAAUAGGCUUCAGUUAGGAUAUUCUGUAUGGUUUCAUCGUUUGCAUACGAUCCUCCCGGUUCAACUCUAGGCCGGGAGCAGUUCUUUUCUGUUUGGACCGGACCGAUUGUGCUGCAUGUAUAAUAAAUAAAUAAAUUUAUAAAAUGAUAAUAGUUUCGAUACAUGAACAAAAUACAAAUUUAUACGAGAAUAAUAAUUCUGAUAUAAUGUUGCGUACAUGUUAUUGGAGUGCAUGUGGUGUCCGGUCAGCUUUUAACAAAACUAAUUACAUAUUAUUUAUAUAAAUAAUUAUUUUUAACAUCAUAAUCCUUAUAUUUUUAAAAAUUAUAUUAAAAUUUUUAUAUUUACUAAUAUAAAAUCUUUAAUCUUAUUUCUCCUUACGUCAUCGAUUCUAUUGAAGAAAAAUAUCAUACGUAUUUAAUGAUAAACCAAAUGAUACGUAAACUCUACGAUAUUUUCGUCAACAAAGUUAAACAGAACUAAAUAUUUUUUAAAAAAAAUAUAAAUAUCUUAAUAUAAAUUUUUAAAAAUAUAAAAAAUAUAAAGAUCGAGUUAUUAAAUAUAAUUAAUUAUGAGGGACAAUAUGUAAUUAAUUUGUUUUAAAUAAUGAAUGAUCAAAAGCAUUGUACAUAAAUAGUUAUUUAUGAAGAUUAUUACAAUUGUAUUAGUUUCUCAUUAAGCAUAAUAUUUAGCUACUUUGUAGAUGACGCUAGUUAGAUCCAUUAAAUAAUGUAAUUUUCAAGUUGAAAUUUACCUGUUCCUGACGCAUUAAAUUAUUUUUAAUACCAACAAAUCAACUAUAAGUAUAUAUAUCAAUAUUAAUAUCGACCCUCACUCUUUUUAAGUGGAUGUUAAUGUCUCACCAAAACGAAAAUUCGAAAUCAUUUGGAGGGAUGAAAUGAAAUGAAAAGAAAAGAAGCAAACGAGGGCGGAGGCGGCUUUUCUGCCUCCAUGUGGGUUCGUGGGGCUUCCUCCCGAAGCAGAUGUUGUCCUUGUUCCCAUCGAUCGCCAUGGUUUCCUCCUACUCCUCAUCGACGUUGGAAGAGCCCCGGAUCUGCGAUCCCUCGGCGAUGGAGGCAGCGGCCCGGGUUUCGGGGACGGUGGCGGUGGCCGCAUGUGCGGCCAUGGCGUUCUUCUACGUCGCGAUCCUCUACUCCCCGACCCUGAUCCUUCGCCUCCCUCCACCGGCAUCGCUCGAUAGCUUCAUGAUCCGGCGGUUCGCCUGCGCGGCUGUCUCCUCCGCCGCCUCUGUGCUUGCCUGCGGCCUCCUCCUCGGAGUAAGCCGCUUGUCGCUUCAUCUCCUCCUCGAAUCCCAGGGACUCAAAUAUGGCUUUUUUAUCAGCUCGGGAAACUCGACGAUUUGCCAUCUAUCCUCGGUGUUCUAGGUAUCAGGAGAGAUCACUUGGUAAGUUAUCGAGUUUUUUUUGGAGAUUUUCUAACAUUGCAAGCUUAAUGGUGGGGAUUGUGCAGUGGCAAGCUGUGGCCUUUCCUCUGCUACUGACAUCCUUCCUGUAUACCGGGUCAUUCGUGUCGAGGUCAUGGAACUUGAUUAGUGCAUCAACAGAAAGGAGCGAAAAUUCUUACGGGGAAGAUGGAAUCUGUGGACAAGGGUGUACAGAUUGGGUGUGUGCAUAUGCCCGGAAUGUGAUGGCUUGGCGUAAUUAUGUGGUGGUAAGCGCACUUCUUUCCCUGGAUAUAUAUGCUUCGUAACAUGUAUCCAUUUUUUUUACUAGAUUCUAAUCGACUGAAUUAUGUAAAUUAUAGGUUUCUAUAAAUGUAAGACACAUGUGCAACCCAGGGUCACGUUUGAUUUUCUUGACAUCCAAUUUUAGUUUAACCAGGUAGAGUCUUAUUUCAAUGUAUCUCUUUUCAGACUCUUUAAUCACUAAAUGAAAGAGUUCCAGAAGGAUUAGGAGUUUAUUCAAAGGAUAAGUUGAAAGAAAUAAGAAUCCAACUGACACCUAAUUAGAGUAGGAAUAGUGGUUGGCUAUAACUACGUAUGACAUAGGGUGCUGGUCAACAGAUUAUAUGCAAAUAACGUUUGAUGCAGAAUUAAUUUGCUUGAUGGCAGCAAGCAUUUUCUUUUUGAUGCUACAGAUUGUUGGGAGAGCAAACAAGCAGCCUCCAAUUAUCUCUCCUUUAUCAUCUCCUCUAUUUUUCCUUAUCAUCUGAAAUUAAUUUACACUAAACAGUGUCAUAAGAAGAUUCUUCAGUUCACAAACAAACUAAUCUUUCCACUCUUUUGCCACAUUGAUCAAGAGACUUGGUGCAACCAAAAUAGAUAGAAAAUUCGGAUUGUUCAAACUUCAAACCAUAUAUGUUUUGACCCACUUGCCAAUGUGACAAUUCUUCCUCCAUGAUUUACAAUUUUCAGUAGUGUUGCUAAGGUAUCCUAUUUUACUGAUUGUUUUUAUUUUGUUUAUUUUGCUGAGAUAUAUCUUUUUUGUUUGAUGGUACCGUUCAUGAGAAUUUAACAUGACAUAAAUGUCAUGAACUAGGGAGAAUGGGAUGAUGAGUUGGUUUGAAAUUUGAAGCCUAUGAAUAAUAGGGCAAUAACCUUCAAUUGUUUCCAUACUUUAUUUUAUUUAUUGUCUAUGUUCUUUUUAAUUGGAGCUCACGUAUGCACACAUUUUCCAUAUCCAUUAUACAGUACCCAAUCGCCUGCAUUCUACUUCAACUUUAAAAUAAAAAUUCUUAAUAUUAUGCUAAUUAGACAAGUUUACAAAAAACACUCUUACAAGGGAUUAAAGUCUUAAUACUUUCCAUUUAUCUUGGAGGUGCAUUUCUUUUUUCCAAGUUCUUAUACAAUGAAAGAUAUAGCAUCACUAGGAGAUAUUAAAGGUAAUUAGUUCAAAUCAGAAUGUGAUAUGCCUAUUGCUUUGGUUUGAUAUUUUUGGUGAUUGACUUAUUGGAUGACUUGACAUAAUUGUUUGGGGCAUAUUCUUAGAUAAUUUUUCAGUUAUUAAUUGCUUCUUGUGACUGAUAAAGGGUGGUUCUUUCUUAGCUUCACAAAUAUUGAUUUAUUCCCUCGUGUAUGCAAUAAUUGAGGUUCGAGCCUUUUGUUGGGAUCUAUACAUUUAGGUAGUUUGAAAUAGAAUACCUAAUGUUAAGAGAAUGGAAGUUUGAUAUUCUAGAAGCUGAAUCUGUAGGCAGUCCCUGUUUUUAACCAAUGGUAAUUUUCUCAUCACACCAUAGUAAGCGGUUUGUAUUCUUUGAGGCAACGUGAUAAUUCAGCUGGGUUUAGAAAUAAAUCAUCCAAGUCUAUCUGAAACUUUUGAUUAAUAGUUUAUUGUUGUCUUGUGUUCAAGACUUUUUUUUUUCUUUUCCUCUUUGCCUUUGUUUAGAAGUGUAGCAAUUUUUUCUUUGUGAGAUAAACUGACAAGUAAUUUCUAUGGACAGGCACCAUUUACUGAAGAGCUUGUUUUCAGGGCCUGUAUGAUACCAUUGCUCCUUUGUGGAGGAUUUGGAACUAGCAGUAUCAUAUUUUUCAGUCCGGUUUUCUUCAGUUUAGGUAAGUAGAUGCUGAUCUCUCUAGUUUCUCAACUUUGUAUUGCUUUUGAGUUUUACUAUGGGUUUGUAAAUUGAUUCUCAAUUCAUACAUGAAGCAUACUAAUCUUUGGAUGUAUUAAUUAUUAAUGUAAGAUGUUUUUGCAAAAAAAAUUUUGUCUCCACCCAUAACUUUAGAUUGCAUUUACCAAUUUCUAUGCAUGUUUAUAUUGUAAGUUCAAUGCAUCCUUACCAUUCUUCUUUCUUCAAAUUUGUUGGAUAUGAUAAUAGCAAGUGGCUGUACCAGAAACUCUUUGAGUGAUCUUGAUAAACGCAACAUUUCUUAUUUCUUUGGCAGUAGACUUGUAAUAUUUCAUUGGCAGUAGUUCCAUCAAUCAUGCAACAUAACAUUUCUUAUUUAUGAUCUUGAUAAACAAACCUACUUCAAGUUCUAGACUUUUCAUAUUUUUGCGACAGUAGUUCCAUCAUUCAUGCAAUAUAGCAUUUCUUCUUUGAGUGAUCUUGGAAUUUUAUUAUCCAUCUUUUUCCCAUCUCUUCUUUUGUUUCAGCACACUUAAAUCAUUUUUUGGAGCUCUACUAUCAGCAAAGAUACAGAUUUAUGAAGGCUUUCCUGAUUGUAGGUACUUCUUUUAUCCUAGUGCUGAUAUGUCUUCCACUUGUUCUUUUAAGUCAUGAAAAAACAUAACUGUUAACAUUUUUCUACUCCAAGACUUUUUAUGCAAUUGCAAUCUUAAAUUGCUGUUUCAUUCUUGCUAGGCUUCCAGCUUGGUUAUACUGUGAUAUUUGGGUGGUAUGCGUCUUUUCUCUUCAUUCGAACAGGUUUGUGCACAUUGAAUAUGUUAUUACAUAAAAUAUGAUGCCUUCUCUUUAGUACUCUACUCUUUAGAAAAUUAUUUGGAUGUAGAAACUUCUUUUGCGUGGGCUUUUGUUGUUUUUUGUUAUAAUUAUAUCUGAAACAAUGUUUGUAGCCACUGUAAGACUGGUGACAGUGUGGUUGCUCCUUGAUGGAUGUUUAUUAUAGAUGAAAGUUUUCUGUAGUCCAAUAACAUUGGCAUAAAUAAAUGCAGGACCUGACAAUUUUAAAAAAAAAAACUUCACUAGAAGUGACAGCUUAUAAUCUUAUUGGAAAUCAAGUUUCGAGUAAUUGGAAAAAGAUCAAAUAUGAACACCCAUAGUAUGUAAUUUUUUUGUAGUUGGUCCAUGCUCUGGUAGAUAUGAGUCUAUGUGGAUAUUAUUGGAUACAUUUGCUGACAUGAAUUAAUCUGUUUGGUCAUAUACAGGGAACUUAAUAUCUCCUAUUGUGGCCCAUGUUUUUUGUAAUGUGAUGGGUCUGCCAUUGUUGUCAUCUCCAAGGACAAAAGGUUUGUCCACUCAGUUCAAAUGAUUUCACUGUCAAAUUUAUUGCUUCUAGUUCAACAAAAUUUGACCUUGCAAUUACUAGCUUUGUAAUUCCUCAGGAGUAUAACAGCACUUAUCUAAGUAUCCUUAUUUCAGGUGGAUUUUUCUAUUGUGGUGGUGUAUCUUUCCACUUUAACACCCCAAUUUAGUCUCACAUUGGAUGUAGACUAAUAUUUAAAUUGACUUACAAGAGGCUGAUAGGUGUUCUAUUGUUACUUUCGUCUUAAAUAUUUUGGGUCAGUGGUUCGGACUCAAUGAAGUUGAUGGAUCAGUAUUCGAUCUUGUAUUGGGGAAUGGUGAGAGAUUCAAUCAGGAAAGGUCUAUUCGUAGAUGACACUAGAGGGCUGGGGAGAAUGAAAUGCCCUAACUUAGUCACACUGACUAACGGAUGUAAUUUAUCAUUUUUUCCUUUUGAGAGCAAGUUGAAUAUGAUUAUAUCCUCUAAUAUCUAGAUAAUAUACCUAUUUUUUCAAAUAUGAAUACAUCCUCCAAUAUCUCUUAGUAAUAUAUCUCAUUUUGAUCAUAUCUCCACUUAGAUAUAACAAUCCCUAUAAAAAAAUUAUGCUUCUGAUGCACUACACUAGUUUUAUUCAUCUAAAUUCUCAAAAGUAGGGCCACUUAAUAAACUAAUCCUAUGGGCUCCAAUUCCAACAGGUUCCUAAAUCCAUUGCACCGGAUAAGAGAAGUUCAUUGUAACGACCAAGAAUUUUCUGCUCCUCAGAUUAAAAAUUACCAUAAUUAGAGUUUUAUUUUAUUUGAAUUGAUUUGUUUCCUUGUUUGUGUUAUAUAAUAAAUGAAAGUUAAUAAAGAUUUGAAAUUUUCUUCUGUAAUUGUGUGGUCUAGCUAGAAAACUAAUUAAUUAAUUAAUCCAAGGAUAAAAUAUUUUGUGUAUCUUGAGGGGAAUGCCCCUUCCUCUCUUAUAUAAUGCUGGUCAGGCCUUCUCUUUUAUUCAUCAAUGAGUCAAGAGAAGCCUAACAGCAGGAGGGGUUAGAGGGAGGAGAGGGACCUCAAUCCUGAAGGAAGGUAGGUCCUCUACUUUUUUUAGUUUAAAGUUUUUAUUUAUAUUUGAGUUGCUAGCAUUUCUGAAAAAAUAAGAUAUUAAAGUAUUAUAUUUUUAGAGACUAUGAUACAUGAGAAUCUCAUUCAUAUUAGUUUGAUUUUGAUUCAUGAUUAAUCAAUUAUAGUUCAUGUUCCUUAUAUUUUAGUGGAUUUAAUUAUAUUACAAUAUAUUAAUUAUUAAGUUUAGCAUGUUGAUUUAAGUAAUAUUUUUUUAUGGAAAUUAUGCCAUUAAUAUUUAUGUGGAUUUAAUCAUUUUGCAACAUCUUAAUUAUUUAAUUUAGCAUGUUUACUUAAUGAAUUUGCUUAUUGUCCAUUUCAUUAGAAUUUCAUGUUGUAUUGAAUUAGAUCAUAUCAUUACAUUUAUCAAUUUCAUGUUGUAUUAAAAGGGGAAAAAAUUAAAAUUGGAUAUAGAGGUUUGACUUGAGUUCGACCCGAACUAGAUUGACCAGUCGAACUUGAUCGACGUAGCCAGAGUCGUGCUCGGGCUCAGCCUAUGGCAUGCAGCUGAGCAUUGAGCCCACUAGCCCGCAUAGAUGUGCUGCAACACCUAGCAGGCUGGCUCAAUAGACUUGCACAAGACCUGGCUUGGGAUCGACUCAGCCCGAGGUUGGCGUGGCUUGGAUCUCAACCUGUGGCUCGGCUUGGUGUAGGCAACCCAUAAAGGCUUGAUACAACCCAUGAUCAGCUCAUCGCAACCCAGCGCCUGAGGCCCUCACACUGGCUGACAUUGAAGCCAAGCCUGCUGCCCUCCUCAACCGUGUGGGCAUGUACAACCAUGUGUUUGCAGUGUUAAUUCGUCUGGAUUUUCAUGUUUGCUUGUUAGAUUAAGAUACCAAUGUGUUAAAUUAAGGUAGAUAGCCUAUAUUUGAACUUACAGGGACAGCAACUGUGGCUGCUGCAGCUGGUGUGGUCGGUUUCUUAUAUCUUCUAUUUCCAGCCACACGACCAGGACUGUACAAUGAUAUGAGAGAUGGCUGUAGCUGUUGGCACCGAUAUUGUAGUUGGAGUUGAUACUGAAGUUGGAUGGUAGCAACAGAAGAAAGUCACAACACGAAAGAGAAGCUCAAGAGCCCUCAUCGACUUGAAUCAGACAACAGGAAAGUUGUUUCCUUUUGGUUUUUACUUCUGUUAAUGAAAAUUUAGUGUUUUUUAGGUAUGUUUGUUUUACAUGUAUUCUACAUUGCUUUUCCUGAUAUUGAUUCCUGUCCAAUUCCUAUGCUACAUGGUAUGCCUGGGUUAAUAAUGAUCUUCAUUCAAAAAAGCAUCUUAGGUUAAAUCCCCUUUCUUUAAGUACUUCCCCUGAAUGAAUCGUUGUUUGAACAAUCAUGUUAGUGGUAGUUAAUGGGAAUAACCGUAAGCAAGAUAAAGCAGUAAAUAAUUCAACUAAAAUUUUAAAUUGAACAACCAUCCUUUUGUUGCUAUGUCACUUCUAUUAAUGUCGAGUAUGCUCAUUUUUUGAAUUGUGUUUGCACAAUAUGUUAUUGUUACUUUGCAGAUUAUGCUAGUCUUAAUCUAGAAUGCUAUCAUAUGGUAACUACUGCCUGAAGACAUAGACGAUCUAACAUUGCUCAAUAGAAAGUAGGAGACCAGGAAAAAAAAAUGGUAUUGUUAAAUAAGUUGAUUUUUCCUACAAAAGUGAUAACCUUUUGGAUUGUGGGUCUUCGAUAAAACAAGAUAAGAAGAAGAAGAAGAAGCUGCUUGGUGGCCUUCUGGUGGUGGGGCGUGGGGUUUAUAUGGGAUGCAAGAUGGGCAUUGGUGGAACGUUCUUCUCUCUCUCUCUGGCUGGCUGACAGACAAACUCAUGGUGGCAGGCAUAGGAAUCAUGCUUGUGUGGGGAAUAUAAGCAAGCGAGCAAAUAGAGGCAUGGAGGCGGGCGGGCGGGCGGCGGAGAGGAGAUUGAGCAUGGGUCACGGUAUGGUGGGGGUGGCUCUCCGAAACAAAACGGCUAUGAGCGGGGUGACCUGCCUUCCUUCAGGAUGGAGGUCCCUCUCCUGCUGUUAGGCUUCUUCUCUUGAUUCAUUGAUGAAUAAAAGAGAAGGGUCGAGCAGCAUUAUAUAAGAGAGGAAGGGGCAUUCCCCUCAAGAUACGAAAAAUAUUUUAAUUUUGGAUUAAUUAAUUAUUUAGUUUUCUAGCUAACCCACACAAUUAAGGAAGCAAUUUUCAAUUCUUUACUAACUUUCGUUUAUUAUAUAACACAAACAAGGAAACAAAUCAAUUCAAAUAAAACAGAACUCUAAUUAUGGUAAUUUUUAAUCUGAGUAGAAAAUUCUUGAUCCUUACAAUGGGCUUGUCUUAUCCAGUGCAAUGGAUUUAGGAACCUGUUGGAAUAUGAACCCACAGGAUUAGUUUCUUAAGUGACCCUACUUUUGAGAAUUUAGAUAAGUAAAAUUAGUGUAGUGCAUCAGAAGCAUUUUCUUUAUAUAGGGACUUGUUAUAUCUAAUUAGAGAUAUAUUACUAGGAGAUGAUGUUAGCAGAAAGGAUGUUAUGUUCUAAAAUUCUGAUUCCCAUACAGAACUUGCAAAACAUUUUAUCUCGAUCUUUGCCUCUAAACAGAACUUGGAAUUACAAAGCUUAAGCUUAAGGUAUUUCUGAAUGACACCAAUUAACUUGAUUGUUCGUAUAGCCUUUGAGGUGACAUCUCAAACGUUAGGAUAUUAUAUAUGCUGUUAAUAUUUAGAGGGUUGGAGCCUUUGACUCUUAGAGGCUUCUUUGUUUCGACGUGAUGAUUACACGGAGGCGUGGGACGUCUGAUGGGACUUUGGACUGAGAGAUUGGUGGGUAUUUGGUCAACCUUUUUUGUUGUUUUCUUCUUCCUUUGUCAUUUUCAUUGGACCUCACAUCGAAUCUACGUCACAUAUAUCAUCACUCUUUGACCCAUCACCCUCUCCUCUGCAUUUUGGAUCUACAUAGCUGAAUCCCUGUUAGUUCACAUGUUGGAUUGCAAUGCUGUGUUCUUGGAGUUACAAAGUAUCCUUGCUAGGCUUGUACAUCCUUGGUCCCACACGAUUCAUAUGCAGCUUCUUUGCAGGCCAUUCCAAAUGCAGCUGAGUUCUUGUUCGACUGGGGAUGACUUCGUUCAGGUACGAUGGUAACUCUGGACAUCCUGAGUGCAUCAUUUUUAACGAGGGAAAUAUUUCUUGUUCGGACAAAGUUUUAGAAACAAUCACAUACAUGACUGCUUCAUUUCCUGCCGAUCUAGCUACAUAUGUAGGAUGCACACAAUCUAUCACCACGCCAAAACAUCCAAAAAAGAUUAAAAGUCCUGUAGAAGAGAUGUUUCUACUAAGUUGAGUGCUUGUUUCCGCUGGAGGUCAUGGUGGAUGAUGGGGGAGUAGCGUUGAGGUCUGGGAUUUUGGGAUUGGGGUUGGAGGUGGCACUGGUGCUGGCCAGCGUCUGCUUCUGCUUCUGCUUCCGCUUCAGCUCAGACAGGAGAGCCUGGUUCUCCUGGUUGAGAAGCUGUGCUUUCUUCCUCAGCCUCUCGUUCUCCUUCAUGAUGUAGCAGUUCUGCAAGUACAGUUGGGUGUUGAG
Molecule: long non-coding RNA, 14694 nt
Filed under: Musa acuminata (dwarf banana)
Lineage: Eukaryota; Viridiplantae; Streptophyta; Magnoliopsida; Zingiberales; Musaceae
Description: long non-coding RNA (MACU_LNC005982)
Source: RNAcentral